GCUGCAGGUGAUUUUUUCCCCCAUCAGAUCAACCCUGUUGAUCAAACUAAACUAUUAGCCAGUUUUUGUCUGAUGCAUUGC
Pteronotus mesoamericanus is the source of this 81-nucleotide small nucleolar RNA. RefSeq annotates it as small nucleolar SNORD12/SNORD106. NCBI's taxonomy places the organism in Eukaryota, Metazoa, Chordata, Mammalia, Chiroptera, Mormoopidae. The transcript has a single exon. The record is from RefSeq and is a predicted model, not a curated record.